This 253-nucleotide ribosomal RNA is filed under the name uncultured bacterium. RNAcentral describes it as "partial 16S ribosomal RNA". It matches the Rfam family "Bacterial small subunit ribosomal RNA", at positions 524 to 776 of the family's 1533-position model. The record is from RNAcentral.
UACAGAGGGGGCAAGCGUUGUUCGGAAUUACUGGGCGUAAAGGGCGCGUAGGCGGCCUGCUAAGUCGAACGUGAAAUCCCCGGGCUCAACCCGGGAACUGCGUCCGAUACUGGCAGGCUUGAAUCCGGGAGAGGGAUGCGGAAUUCCAGGUGUAGCGGUGAAAUGCGUAGAUAUCUGGAGGAACACCGGUAGCGAAGGCGGCAUCCUGGACCGGCAUUGACGCUGAGGCGCGAAAGCCAGGGGAGCAAACGGG